This 758-nucleotide ribosomal RNA is filed under the name Microbacterium sp. RNAcentral's name for it is "bacterial SSU rRNA". It matches the Rfam family "Bacterial small subunit ribosomal RNA", at positions 54 to 825 of the family's 1533-position model. Lineage: Bacteria; Bacillati; Actinomycetota; Actinomycetes; Micrococcales; Microbacteriaceae. The record is from RNAcentral.
CAUGCAAGUCGAACGGUGAAGCAGAGCUUGCUCUGUGGAUCAGUGGCGAACGGGUGAGUAACACGUGAGCAAUCUGCCCCUGACUCUGGGAUAAGCGCUGGAAACGGCGUCUAAUACCGGAUACGAGCUGCGACCGCAUGGUCGGCAGUUGGAAAGAAUUUCGGUCAGGGAUGAGCUCGCGGCCUAUCAGCUUGUUGGUGAGGUAAUGGCUCACCAAGGCGUCGACGGGUAGCCGGCCUGAGAGGGUGACCGGCCACACUGGGACUGAGACACGGCCCAGACUCCUACGGGAGGCAGCAGUGGGGAAUAUUGCACAAUGGGCGAAAGCCUGAUGCAGCAACGCCGCGUGAGGGAUGACGGCCUUCGGGUUGUAAACCUCUUUUAGCAGGGAAGAAGCGAAAGUGACGGUACCUGCAGAAAAAGCGCCGGCUAACUACGUGCCAGCAGCCGCGGUAAUACGUAGGGCGCAAGCGUUAUCCGGAAUUAUUGGGCGUAAAGAGCUCGUAGGCGGUCUGUCGCGUCUGCUGUGAAAACCCGAGGCUCAACCUCGGGCCUGCAGUGGGUACGGGCAGACUAGAGUGCGGUAGGGGAGAUUGGAAUUCCUGGUGUAGCGGUGGAAUGCGCAGAUAUCAGGAGGAACACCGAUGGCGAAGGCAGAUCUCUGGGCCGUAACUGACGCUGAGGAGCGAAAGGGUGGGGAGCAAACAGGCUUAGAUACCCUGGUAGUCCACCCCGUAAACGUUGGGAACUAGUUGUGG